This 253-nucleotide ribosomal RNA is filed under the name uncultured bacterium. Its description in RNAcentral is "partial 16S ribosomal RNA". It matches the Rfam family "Bacterial small subunit ribosomal RNA", at positions 524 to 776 of the family's 1533-position model. The record is from RNAcentral.
UACGGGUGCUCCAAGCGUUAUCCGGAAUUAUUGGGCGUAAAGGGUGUGUAGGCGGUCGUGUUAGUCUUCUGUUAAAUUCUUCGGCUUAACCGGGGACCUGCGGAGGAAACGGCACGACUGGAAGAUACGAGAGGCAUGUGGAACUCAUGGUGUAGGGGUGAAAUCCGUUGAUAUCAUGGGGAACACCGAAAGCGAAGGCAGCAUGCUGGCGUAUUCUUGACGCUGAAACACGAAAGCGUAGGUAGCGAAUGGG